AACGAACGCUGGCGGCAGGCCUAACACAUGCAAGUCGAGCGCCCUUUCGGGGGAGCGGCGGACGGGUGAGUAACGCGUGGGAAUAUGCCCUUCUCUACGGAAUAGCCUCGGGAAACUGAGAGUAAUACCGUAUACGCCCUUUGGGGGAAAGAUUUAUCGGGGAAGGAUUAGCCCGCGUUGGAUUAGGAAGUUGGUGGGGUAAUGGCCUACCAAGCCGACGAUCCAUAGCUGGUUUGAGAGGAUGAUCAGCCACACUGGGACUGAGACACGGCCCAGACUCCUACGGGAGGCAGCAGUGGGGAAUCUUAGACAAUGGGGGCAACCCUGAUCUAGCCAUGCCGCGUGAGUGAUGAAGGCCUUAGGGUUGUAAAGCUCUUUCAGCUGGGAAGAUAAUGACGGUACCAGCAGAAGAAGCCCCGGCUAACUCCGUG
Molecule: ribosomal RNA, 431 nt
Filed under: uncultured bacterium
Lineage: Bacteria
Description: partial 16S ribosomal RNA
Rfam family: Bacterial small subunit ribosomal RNA
Source: RNAcentral